Molecule: ribosomal RNA, 371 nt
Filed under: Salmonella enterica
Lineage: Bacteria; Pseudomonadati; Pseudomonadota; Gammaproteobacteria; Enterobacterales; Enterobacteriaceae
Also listed under: 1 other name
Description: partial 16S ribosomal RNA
Rfam family: Bacterial small subunit ribosomal RNA
Source: RNAcentral
GGUAACAGGAAGCAGCUUGCUGCUUCGCUGACGAGUGGCGGACGGGUGAGUAAUGUCUGGGAAACUGCCUGAUGGAGGGGGAUAACUACUGGAAACGGUGGCUAAUACCGCAUAACGUCGCAAGACCAAAGAGGGGGACCUUCGGGCCUCUUGCCAUCAGAUGUGCCCAGAUGGGAUUAGCUUGUUGGUGAGGUAACGGCUCACCAAGGCGACGAUCCCUAGCUGGUCUGAGAGGAUGACCAGCCACACUGGAACUGAGACACGGUCCAGACUCCUACGGGAGGCAGCAGUGGGGAAUAUUGCACAAUGGGCGCAAGCCUGAUGCAGCCAUGCCGCGUGUAUGAAGAAGGCCUUCGGGUUGUAAAGUACUU